Molecule: ribosomal RNA, 678 nt
Filed under: uncultured bacterium
Lineage: Bacteria
Description: bacterial SSU rRNA
Rfam family: Bacterial small subunit ribosomal RNA
Source: RNAcentral
GCUUUCUUUGCCGGCGACCGGCGCACGGGUGAGUAACACGUAUCCAACCUGCCCUUUACUCGGGGAUAGCCUUUCGAAAGAAAGAUUAAUACCCGAUGGGAUAAUUAUUCCGCAUGGUUUGAUUAUUAAAGGAUUCCGGUAAAGGAUGGGGAUGCGUUCCAUUAGGUUGUUGGUGAGGUAACGGCUCACCAAGCCUUCGAUGGAUAGGGGUUCUGAGAGGAAGGUCCCCCACAUUGGAACUGAGACACGGUCCAAACUCCUACGGGAGGCAGCAGUGAGGAAUAUUGGUCAAUGGGCGCUAGCCUGAACCAGCCAAGUAGCGUGAAGGAUGAAGGCUCUAUGGGUCGUAAACUUCUUUUAUAUAAGAAUAAAGUGCAGUAUGUAUACUGUUUUGUAUGUAUUAUAUGAAUAAGGAUCGGCUAACUCCGUGCCAGCAGCCGCGGUAAUACGGAGGAUCCGAGCGUUAUCCGGAUUUAUUGGGUUUAAAGGGAGUGUAGGUGGACUGGUAAGUCAGUUGUGAAAGUUUGCGGCUCAACCGUAAAAUUGCAGUUGAUACUGUCAGUCUUGAGUACAGUAGAGGUGGGUGGAAUUCGUGGUGUAGCGGUGAAAUGCUUAGAUAUCACGAAGAACUCCGAUUGCGAAGGCAGCUCACUGGACUGCAACUGACACUGAUGCUCG